CCUACGGGAGGCAGCAGUGGGGAAUAUUGCACAAUGGGGGAAACCCUGAUGCAGCGACGCCGCGUGAGUGAAGAAGUAAUUCGUUAUGUAAAGCUCUAUCAGCAGGGAAGAAAAUGACGGUACCUGAGUAAGAAGCCCCGGCUAACUACGUGCCAGCAGCCGCGGUAAUACGUAGGGGGCAAGCGUUAUCCGGAUUUACUGGGUGGAAAGGGAGCGUAGACGGCAGUGCAAGUCUGGAGUGAAAGGCGGGGGCUCAACCCCCGGACUGCUCUGGAAACUGUACGGCUGGAGUGCAGGAGAGGUAAGUGGAAGUCCUAGUGUAGCGGUGAAAUGCGUAGAUAUUAGGAGGAACACCAGUGGCGAAGGCAGCUUACUGGACUGUAACUGACGUUGAGGCUCGAAAGCGUGGGGAGCAAACAGGAUUAGAUACCCUUGUAGUC
RNAcentral lists this ribosomal RNA (440 nucleotides) under uncultured bacterium. RNAcentral's name for it is "partial 16S ribosomal RNA". It matches the Rfam family "Bacterial small subunit ribosomal RNA", at positions 338 to 795 of the family's 1533-position model. The record is from RNAcentral.